UGUGGCGCAGCCUGAUGCAGCCAUGCCGCGUGUGUGAAGAAGGCCUUAGGGUUGUAAAGCACUUUCAGCGAGGAGGAAGGCAUCACACUUAAUACGUGUGGUGAUUGACGUUACUCGCAGAAGAAGCACCGGCUAACUCCGUGCCAGCAGCCGCGGUAAUACGAA
RNAcentral lists this ribosomal RNA (165 nucleotides) under Rahnella aquatilis. RNAcentral's name for it is "partial 16S ribosomal RNA". It matches the Rfam family "Bacterial small subunit ribosomal RNA", at positions 372 to 529 of the family's 1533-position model. RNAcentral also lists the same sequence under 1 other name. The record is from RNAcentral. Lineage: Bacteria; Pseudomonadati; Pseudomonadota; Gammaproteobacteria; Enterobacterales; Yersiniaceae.